GAUGAACGCUGACAGAAUGCUUAACACAUGCAGGUCCACUUGAAUUUGGGUUUUUAACUUCGGUUUGGGUGGCGGACGGGUGAGUAACGCGUAAAGAACUUGCCUCACAGCUAGGGACAACAUUUGGAAACGAAUGCUAAUACCUAAUAUUAUGAUAAUAGGGCAUCCUAUAAUUAUGAAAGCUAUAAGCGCUGUGAGAGAGCUUUGCGUCCCAUUAGCUAGUUGGAGAGGUAACGGCUCACCAAGGCGAUGAUGGGUAGCCGGCCUGAGAGGGUGAUCGGCCACAAGGGGACUGAGACACGGCCCUUACUCCUACGGGAGGCAGCAGUGGGGAAUAUUGGACAAUGGACCGAGAGUCUGAUCCAGCAAUUCUGUGUGCACGAUGAAGUUUUUCGGAAUGUAAAGUGCUUUCAGUUGGGAAGAAACAAAUGACGGUACCAACAGAAGAAGUGACGGCUAAAUACGUG
This 467-nucleotide ribosomal RNA is filed under the name uncultured bacterium. RNAcentral's name for it is "partial 16S ribosomal RNA". It matches the Rfam family "Bacterial small subunit ribosomal RNA", at positions 28 to 507 of the family's 1533-position model. The record is from RNAcentral.